RNAcentral lists this ribosomal RNA (492 nucleotides) under uncultured bacterium. RNAcentral's name for it is "partial 16S ribosomal RNA". It matches the Rfam family "Bacterial small subunit ribosomal RNA", at positions 29 to 507 of the family's 1533-position model. The record is from RNAcentral.
AGUGAACGCUGGCGGUAGGCCUAACACAUGCAAGUCGAACGGCAGCACAGUAAGAGCUUGCUCUUACGGGUGGCGAGUGGCGGACGGGUGAGGAAUACAUCGGAAUCUACUUUUUCGUGGGGGAUAACGUAGGGAAACUUACGCUAAUACCGCAUACGACCUACGGGUGAAAGCAGGGGAUCUUCGGACCUUGCGCGAUUGAAUGAGCCGAUGUCGGAUUAGCUAGUUGGCGGGGUAAAGGCCCACCAAGGCGACGAUCCGUAGCUGGUCUGAGAGGAUGAUCAGCCACACUGGAACUGAGGCACGGUCCAGACUCCUACGGGAGGCAGCAGUGGGGAAUAUUGGACAAUGGGCGCAAGCCUGAUCCAGCCAUACCGCGUGGGUGAAGAAGGCCUUCGGGUUGUAAAACCCUUUUGUUGGGAAAGAAAAGCAGCAGGUUAAUACCCCGCUGUUCUGACGGUACCCAAAGAAUAAGCACCGGCUAACUUCGUG